Molecule: ribosomal RNA, 1489 nt
Filed under: uncultured bacterium
Lineage: Bacteria
Description: bacterial SSU rRNA
Rfam family: Bacterial small subunit ribosomal RNA
Source: RNAcentral
AGAUUUUGAUCCUGGCUCAGGAUUGAACGCUGGCGGCAGGCCUAACACAUGCAAGUCGAACGGUAACAGGAAGAAGCUUGCUCCUUUGCUGACGAGUGACGGACGGGUGAGUAAUGUCUGGGAAACUGCCUGAUGGAGGGGGAUAACUACUGGAAACGGUAGCUAAUACCGCAUAACGUCGCAAGACCAAAGAGGGGGACCUUCGGGCCUCUUGCCAUCGGAUGUGCCCAGAUGGGAUUAGCUUGUUGGUGGGGUAACGGCUCACCAAGGCGACGAUCCCUAGCUGGUCUGAGAGGAUGACCAGCCACACUGGAACUGAGACACGGUCCAGACUCCUACAGGAGGCAGCAGUGGGGAAUAUUGCACAAUGGGCGCAAGCCUGAUGCAGCCAUGCCGCGUGUAUGAAGAAGGCCUUCGGGUUGUAAAGUACUUUCAGCGGGGAGGAAGGGAGUAAAGUUAAUACCUUUGCUCAUUGACGUUACCCGCAGAAGAAGCACCGGCUAACUCCGUGCCAGCAGCCGCGGUAAUACGGAGGGUGCAAGCGUUAAUCGGAAUUACUGGGCGUAAAGCGCACGCAGGCGGUUUGUUAAGUCAGAUGUGAAAUCCCCGGGCUCAACCUGGGAACUGCAUCUGAUACUGGCAAGCUUGAGUCUCGUAGAGGGGGGUAGAAUUCCAGGUGUAGCGGUGAAAUGCGUAGAGAUCUGAAGGAAUACCGGUGGCGAAGGCGGCCCCCUGGACGAAGACUGACGCUCAGGUGCGAAAGCGUGGGGAGCAAACAGGAUUAGAUACCCUGGUAGUCCACGCCGUAAACGAUGUCGACUUGGAGGUUGUGCCCUUGAGGCGUGGCUUCCGGAGCUAACGCGUUAAGUCGACCGCCUGGGGAGUACGGCCGCAAGGUUAAAACUCAAAUGAAUUGACGGGGGCCCGCACAAGCGGUGGAGCAUGUGGUUUAAUUCGAUGCAACGCGAAGAACCUUACCUGGUCUUGACAUCCACGGAAGUUUUCAGAGAUGAGAAUGUGCCUUCGGGAACCGUGAGACAGGUGCUGCAUGGCUGUCGUCAGCUCGUGUUGUGAAAUGUUGGGUUAAGUCCCGCAACGAGCGCAACCCUUAUCCUUUGUUGCCAGCGGUCCGGCCGGGAACUCAAAGGAGACUGCCAGUGAUAAACUGGAGGAAGGUGGGGAUGACGUCAAGUCAUCAUGGCCCUUACGACCAGGGCUACACACGUGCUACAAUGGCGCAUACAAAGAGAAGCGACCUCGCGAGAGCAAGCGGACCUCAUAAAGUGCGUCGUAGUCCGGAUUGGAGUCUGCAACUCGACUCCAUGAAGUCGGAAUCGCUAGUAAUCGUGGAUCAGAAUGCCACGGUGAAUACGUUCCCGGGCCUUGUACACACCGCCCGUCACACCAUGGGAGUGGGUUGCAAAAGAAGUAGGUAGCUUAACCUUCGGGAGGGCGCUUACCACUUUGUGAUUCAUGACUGGGGUGAAGU